This 301-nucleotide ribosomal RNA is filed under the name uncultured bacterium. Its description in RNAcentral is "partial 16S ribosomal RNA". It matches the Rfam family "Bacterial small subunit ribosomal RNA", at positions 509 to 807 of the family's 1533-position model. The record is from RNAcentral.
CAGCCGCCGCGGGAAUACGAAGGGGGCUAGCGUUGCUCGGAAUGACUGGGCGUAAAGGGCGCGUAGGCGGCGGCCAAAGUCAGGCGUGAAAUUCCCGGGCUCAACCUGGGGGCUGCGUUUGAUACUUGGUUGCUUGAGUGGGGAAGAGGGUCGUGGAAUUCCCAGUGUAGAGGUGAAAUUCGUAGAUAUUGGGAAGAACACCGGUGGCGAAGGCGGCGACCUGGUCCUUUACUGACGCUGAGGCGCGAAAGCGUGGGGAGCAAACAGGAUUAGAUACCCGCGUAGUCCCUGUCUCUUAUAC